Molecule: ribosomal RNA, 468 nt
Filed under: uncultured bacterium
Lineage: Bacteria
Description: partial 16S ribosomal RNA
Rfam family: Bacterial small subunit ribosomal RNA
Source: RNAcentral
GACGAACGCUGGCGGCGUGCUUAACACAUGCAAGUCGAACGGAAAGGCCCUGCUUUUGUGGGGUGCUCGAGUGGCGAACGGGUGAGUAACACGUGAGUAACCUGCUCUUGACUUUGGGAUAACUUCAGGAAACUGGGGCUAAUACCGGAUUGGAGCUCCUGCUGCAUGGUGGGGGUUGGAAAGUUUCGGCGGUUGGGGAUGGACUCGCGGCUUAUCAGCUUGUUGGUGGGGUAGUGGCUUACCAAGGCUUUGACGGGUAGCCGACCUGAGAGGGUGACCGGCAACAUUGGGACUGAGAUACGGCCCAGACUCCUGCGGGAGGCAGCAGUGGGGAAUAUUGCACAAUGGGCGGAAGCCUGAUGCAGCAACGCCGCGUGCGGGAUGACGGCCUUCGGGUUGUAAACCGCUUUCGCCUGUGACGAAGCGUGAGUGACGGUAAUGGGUAGAGAAGCACCGGCUAACUACGUG